CGACGAGUAGGCAGGCGUGGGGGUCCGUGACGAAGCCUUGGGAGUGAUCCCGGGUCGAACGGCCCCUAGUGCAGAUCUUGGUGGUAGUAGCAAAUACUCAAAUGAGAACUUUGAGGACUGAAGUGGGGAAAGGUUCCAUGUGAACAGCAGUUGGACAUGGGUUAGUCGAUCCUAAGGCAUAGGGAAGUUCCGUUUGAAAGGCGCCCUCGUGCGCCGUGUGCCGAAAGGGAAGCCGGUUAACAUUCCGGCACCUGGAUGUGGAUUCUCCACGGCAACGUAACUGAACGCGGAGACGUCGGCGGGGGUCCUGGGAAGAGUUCUCUUUUCUUCUUGACAGCCUUCCACCCUGAAAUCGGUUUGUCCGGAGCUAGGGUUCCAUGGCUGGCAGAGCCCCGCACCUUUGCGGGGUCCGGUGCGCCCCCGACGACCCUUGAAAAUCCGCGGGAAGGAAUAGUUUUCACGCCAGGUCGUACUCAUAACCGCAGCAGGUCUCCAAGGUGAACAGCCUCUA
Molecule: ribosomal RNA, 511 nt
Filed under: Lacticaseibacillus rhamnosus
Lineage: Bacteria; Bacillati; Bacillota; Bacilli; Lactobacillales; Lactobacillaceae
Description: partial 23S ribosomal RNA
Rfam family: Eukaryotic large subunit ribosomal RNA
Source: RNAcentral